AGCAGCCGCGGUAAUUCCAGCUCCAAUAGCGUAUAUUAAAGUUGUUGCAGUUAAAAAGCUCGUAGUUGAAUUUCGGGAUUGACGUGAUGGUCGUGCCUUAAGGGGUAUGAACUGUUGCUGUUGAUUUCUCACCUUCUGGAGAAACUUGAUGUCCUUAAUUGGGUGUCUUGCGGAUCCAGGACCUUUACCUUGAAAAAAUUAGAGUGUUUAAAGCAGGCAUUUUGCUCGAAUACAUUAGCAUGGAAUAAUAGAAUAGGACGGCAUGGUUCUAUUUUGUUGGUUUCUAGGAUCACCGUAAUGAUUAAUAGGGAUAGUUGGGGGCAUUAGUAUUCAAUUGUCAGAGGUGAAAUUCUUGGAUUUAUUGAAGACUAACUACUGCGAAAGCAUUUGCCAAGGAUGUUUUCAUUAAUCAAGAACGAAAGUUAGGGGAUCGAAGACGAUCAGAUACCGUCGUAGUCUUAACCAUAAACUAUGCCGACUAGGAAUCAGACGAUGUUAAUUUUUAAUGACUCGUUUG
RNAcentral lists this unclassified non-coding RNA (517 nucleotides) under uncultured Glomus. RNAcentral describes it as "SSU rRNA". It matches the Rfam family "Eukaryotic small subunit ribosomal RNA", at positions 569 to 1082 of the family's 1831-position model. The record is from RNAcentral. Lineage: Eukaryota; Fungi; Glomeromycota; Glomeromycetes; Glomerales; Glomeraceae.